This 253-nucleotide ribosomal RNA is filed under the name uncultured bacterium. Its description in RNAcentral is "partial 16S ribosomal RNA". It matches the Rfam family "Bacterial small subunit ribosomal RNA", at positions 524 to 776 of the family's 1533-position model. The record is from RNAcentral.
UACGGGGGGGGCAAGCGUUGUCCGGAUUUAUUGGGCGUAAAGAGCUCGUAGGCGGCUUGUUGCGUCGACCGUGAAAACCCGGGGCUCAACUUCGGGCUUGCGGUCGAUACGGGCGGGCUAGAGUUCGGUAGGGGAGACUGGAAUUCCUGGUGUAGCGGUGAAAUGCGCAGAUAUCAGGAGGAACACCGGUGGCGAAGGCGGGUCUCUGGGCCGAUACUGACGCUGAGGAGCGAAAGCGUGGGGAGCGAACAGG